GACGAACGCUGGCGGCGUGCUUAACACAUGCAAGUCGAACGGAAAGGCCCUGCUUUUGUGGGGUGCUCGAGUGGCGAACGGGUGAGUAACACGUGAGUAACCUGCCCUUGACUUUGGGAUAACUUCAGGAAACUGGGGCUAAUACCGGAUAUGAGCUCCUGCUGCAUGGUGGGGGUUGGAAAGUUUCGGCGGUUGGGGAUGGACUCGCGGCUUAUCAGCUUGUUGGUGGGGUAGUGGCUUACCAAGGCUUUGACGGGUAGCCGGCCUGAGAGGGUGACCGGCCACAAUGGGACUGAGAGACGGCCCAGACUCCUACGGGAGGCAGCAGUGGGGAAUAUUGCACAAUGGGCGGAAGCCUGAGGCAGAAACGCCGCGUGCGGGAUGACGGCCUUCGGGUUGUAAACCGCUUUCGCCUGUGACGAAGCGUGAGUGACGGUAAUGGGUAAAGAAGCACCGGCUAACUACGUG
This 468-nucleotide ribosomal RNA is filed under the name uncultured bacterium. RNAcentral describes it as "partial 16S ribosomal RNA". It matches the Rfam family "Bacterial small subunit ribosomal RNA", at positions 28 to 507 of the family's 1533-position model. The record is from RNAcentral.